Molecule: ribosomal RNA, 448 nt
Filed under: Aleiodes fortipes
Lineage: Eukaryota; Metazoa; Arthropoda; Insecta; Hymenoptera; Braconidae
Description: LSU rRNA
Source: RNAcentral
CCUGAGAAACCCAAAAGAUCGAAUGGGGAGAUUCAUCGUCAGCUCAUUUUGUAUAUAUAUAAGUUAUGAUGCGGGUUACUACUUGUAGUAUUGCCUGCACAUUCUUUUAUAUUUUGUUGCAAGGUGUUGUCGGCGUGCACUUCUCCCCUAGUAGGACGUCGCGACCCGUUGGGUGUCGGUUUACGGCCCAAGUGAUAGACUUUAAUGUAAUUUAAAAAACAUUGAAGAUCCUUGGUGUUUUCUAACCGGCUACUCGGCGGUACUCGUACGGUAUUUAGCCGCUAAAUUUAAUUUAGCGUCCAUGUCCGUCACAAGCGAGGCUAAUUUUUACUGAUAGUACGGACCUAGUGCCGUCGUUGGUAUUGGCCAGCUGUUGGUUGUACGGUAUUCUAGGACUGGCUAAAAUUAAUUACCGGUCGGCGAUGCUACUGCUUUGGGUACUUUCAGG